Molecule: small RNA, 4389 nt
Filed under: Pan troglodytes (chimpanzee)
Lineage: Eukaryota; Metazoa; Chordata; Mammalia; Primates; Hominidae
Description: retained intron
Source: RNAcentral
UUUUGCGGGAAGAGGAGCCGCUGUACCUGCAGUGCUGCUUUUCUUGCCUAGACUCUAGGAACUAUCCGAGCUCCACUCCCCACAACAUACUCAAAGGAACGGAGAGAACCAGGACCCCCCUGCGGGGACCCGGAACUGAUCUGACAGGAUGGCAUCUGAUGACUUUGACAUAGUGAUUGAGGCCAUGCUGGAAGCUCCCUAUAAAAAAGAAGAGGAUGAGCAACAAAGGAAAGAAGUUAAAAAGGAUUAUCCUAGCAAUACCACCAGCAGCACCAGCAACAGUGGCAAUGAGACCAGUGGAAGCAGCACCAUCGGGGAGACAAGCAAGAAGAAGAGGAGUCGGAGCCAUAGUAAAAGCAGGGAUAGAAAGCGCAGUCGUAGUCGAGAUCGGGAUCGGUAUAGACGGAGAAAUAGUCGGAGCCGAAGUCGAGGUCGGCAGCGUCGUCACCGUAGCCGUAGCUGGGAUCGUCGACAUAGUAGUGAGUCGCGAAGUCGGGACCAUCGUCGUGAGGAUCGUGUGCAUUACAGGAGUCCUCCACUUGCCACUGGUUAUAGGUAUGGACACAGUAAGAGUCCUCAUUUCAGAGAGAAGAGCCCAGUCAGGGAGCCAAUUGAUAAUCUGAGUCCUGAGGAGCGUGAUGCCCGCACAGUUUUCUGUAUGCAGUUAGCUGCCCGAAUUCGGCCUCGAGAUCUGGAGGACUUUUUCUCUGCUGUAGGCAAGGUUCGCGAUGUACGUAUCAUCUCAGAUCGGAACUCACGUCGUUCUAAGGGCAUUGCCUACGUGGAAUUCUGUGAAAUCCAGUCUGUGCCACUGGCCAUUGGGCUGACUGGGCAGCGGUUGCUGGGAGUGCCUAUCAUUGUACAGGCUUCACAGGCAGAGAAAAACCGACUGGCAGCCAUGGCCAACAACCUGCAAAAGGGCAAUGGUGGACCAAUGCGCCUCUAUGUGGGUUCCCUGCACUUCAAUAUCACUGAAGACAUGCUCCGGGGCAUCUUUGAGCCCUUUGGUAAAAUUGAUAAUAUUGUCCUGAUGAAGGACUCGGAUACAGGCCACUCUAAAGGUUAUGGUUUCAUCACGGUGAGUCUCUAGUCUUUUAAUUUUUUUAUUUUACUUUGGGUUUGUCCACUUGUCUGAUUUUGCAGCUUAGCUUCAUCCUCCUCCUUUAGGAACUGUCUAAAUGACCCAUAAACCCUGGUGCCUGAAGCUUGGACUAGCCUUCUACCCCUUGAGAUGAGUGCAUUGCUUGAGAUCUUGGCUUUGCUCCUACACUCUGUCAGUGGCCCUGGUAUGGGGGUGUUCAGGAGUUCAACCAGCUUCCCUGGUGCUGCAACUUGGCUCUUUGGGUAAUAGUAACCAGGCUGCAGCUAAAAGGUUGGGGGUGUGAGGGAGGUUAGGUAUGGACUUUUAAAGACAUGCUUUAUAGAAUUGAUGUUUCUCAUAACAGGGAUGGGAAUAGGAAAUUAUACUUCCCUCUGGUGCUACCCCAUUUGAAGCAAUUUCUGCACCGAGAAGGAUCAGUUAUUAACGUAGCACUAUGGGGAGAAUAGUGAGGCCACCUAAUUAUGGGCAAGCUUCACCUUUUCCUGACAUUCCAACAAAAUGGUUGCCAAUUCCUAUAACUGGUUCUUCCAGCCCCAUGUGACUCCAGGCUGAGAACUGGCUGCCAGCCACAAAGUCUGAUAGAAGCUUGUAUUUUCUGGGCUUAAACCAGGCAGCAUACACUCCCACAGUUACCCACAGGGCAGAGGGCAGUAGGUUGUAUUCUGUCAUUGGAAUUGCUCACCUCAAAAAUAUCCAGUAAAGGCAAGCCAUGUAUAACACCUGCCUAGGAACUGUCAGUACCACAUGCCAGGCCCUAAGGCAGGUAAUGCUGCUAGCUAGCUAAACAAGCUAGCUGUGGUGUUGACAAUUCUGUGGUGGCAAGUAACUUUUGUAACCUUUUCUCGCUCUCUGUGUGACUGAGAUAUGGAAAGGCUUCUGUGGGGCAUUUUUGCCCUUGCAUUGUUGCCUUUUGGGUCAACAACCUUGACACUUAAACAAACAGCAGACUGGGAAUCCUCUUUGUACCAGUGUGUUGCUGGGUGCUGCUGAUAAAAGGGACUAGAGAGUAAAGGCCUUCUGGUCAGCAGGUCACUUAGUCAACAGCUCUCGUGUGUAUGUGGGGGUGUGCGUUCUGCCUUGCUGUCAGCACUAGGGUGUGUUCCCUCUUAAGCCUGGAAUUAGGAGUUCCAGAUUCCUAGUACUUAACUAAAAUUUGGCCAGGCGCGGUGGCUCACGCCUGUAAUCCCAGCAGUUUGGGAGGCCAAGGUGGGUGAAUCGCCUGAGGUCAGGAGUUCGAGACCAGCCUGACCAAUGUGGUGAAACCCCAUCUCUACUAAAAAAUAAAAAUAAAAAAACUAGCUGGGCAUGGUGGUGGGUGCCUGUAAUUCCAGCUACUCGGGAGGCUGAGGCAGGAGAAUUGCUUGAACCCAGGAGACGGAGGUUGCAGUGAGCUGACAUGGUGCCACUGCACUCUAGCCUCAGUGACAGAGUGGGACUCCGUCUCAAAAAAAAAAAAAAAAAAAAAAUGACUAAAACUUACUAGGAUAGAGAACUGAAUUAAAAGCCCAGGAGCCUUGUUCUUAGCUUGUCUUCCAUUUGAUGUACCCAUUUGUGAAAUAACUUGUCAGGCUAGGUUUCCUACAAUAAUAAAAUUUUGCAUUGUUAGAUUCUUAAUGGAGCUGAAAGAUUGAAAAGUGACUGCCAUUGAGUCCGUUGGAAAAGGUCCUUUUCAGAGAACCAUUUUGAGGUGAUGGGCCUAGGUCAUAUUUUCUGGGAAAGAAAAGUUUGUACCUCAGUGAGCAUACAAUUUUCCUGGGAUAGUAGGACUAGGGAGUGUUACUGGGUCUUUGAGAGCAUGUCUUUGGUGAGUAGGUGACUAACAUGGCCUGGGUUUCUCAUAGUUCUCUGAUUCUGAGUGUGCCCGGCGGGCCCUGGAACAGUUGAAUGGGUUUGAGCUUGCUGGUCGACCUAUGAGGGUUGGCCAUGUGACUGAGCGACUGGAUGGUGGCACAGACAUCACUUUUCCUGAUGGGGACCAGGAGCUGGAUCUGGGAUCAGCAGGUGGACGUUUUCAGCUCAUGGCAAAACUGGCAGAAGGCGCUGGAAUCCAACUGCCAAGCACUGCUACUGCUGCUGCUGCUGCUGCUGCCGCCGCCGCCCAAGCUGCUGCCUUGCAACUGAAUGGAGCAGUUCCCUUGGGGGCCCUGAAUCCAGCAGCUCUGACUGCUCUGAGUCCAGCCCUGAACCUUGCCUCCCAGUGUUUCCAGCUCUCCAGCCUCUUUACCCCCCAGACCAUGUGAGUCUCAGGGUCUAGCUCAUUCUAGCCUUUGAUUAUUCUCUUUCCUUUGGCUUCCCAUUUACCUCUUCUUUCCACAGGUAAAUCAGUGGCACAGUAUACUGCCUCCUUGUGCCUCUGGAUCCUGCCACUUCACAUCUACUCUUCCAUGGCCCCAUUUCUCCAUUUUGUGGACCAAGCCAUCCUGAGGGCAUGGACAUUGUCUCUGAGGAAAUUGGGGCCACCCUUAAGAUACCAAGAAGAGCUCCUGCCCAUGGUCCCACUGGAAAUGGACUCUGCUGAGCAAAGCCGCCAGUUGAAGAGAACAGAAUCCACACCUGCAUUGAAUACCUGUUUCUCCAUGCGUAUCGUCUCUGAGAUUACCUUCUUGCCCUUUCCAACACCUUAGUGAUUCCUCAAUUCCUCCCCCAUUGGGAAGGCCAUAGGGCAUUAACUGAAGGAACUGACCUCUCUCCUUUUCCUGUACCUUUAACCUUUAGUCUGUCAAGGAAAACCCUUAGGACCUCUGAAUCAAGAGGACUGAGUUUGUGGGUGAACCUUGAAGGUGCUCUUUCUGCUACAAGGGCCCUGGGAGAUAGCAUGGACGUGCAUUGAGAAGCCAGCCUCAGACCUUAGCUUGAAGCAGCUUGAGGCCAGACCUACUGUAGGCUCAGCAUCUUGCUAGGAGGCAUGGAAGUGAUCUAUCCUGCCAGGAGGCCUCAGAGUGAUCUGUCCUGCCAGGAGGCGUGAGAGUGAUCUGUCCUGUGAGGCAUUUAGGGGCUUUCAGGAAUUUAGUAAAAGGUGGAGUAUGCCUUUCCAGUAUCUUCCAUCUUCCUUUGUAUACUUGUCCUUCCUCCCAUUUCCUCCCUUUGGCCCGAGGCAGGAGGAUGGAGGGAGGCUGCUACUCUACCACUUCUGUGUGCCUCUACUGUGGCCUCAACCCUGGCAAUUAAAGCUACUCCCAUCCCUUACCUGGGCAUGUGUGAGCCCUUCUCACUGGAUUUUAUACCCUUGUGUCUGUGUACAUAAAUAUAUAUACAUAUAUAUAUAUAUAUAAAAACUUUGUACAAAA